AAUGAACGCUGGCGGCAUGCCUUACACAUGCAAGUCGAACGGCAGCACGGGAGCAAUCCUGGUGGCGAGUGGCGAACGGGUGAGUAAUAUAUCGGAACGUGCCCAGUCGUGGGGGAUGACGUAGCGAAAGCUACGCUAAUACCGCAUACGAUCUACGGAUGAAAGCGGGGGAUCGCAAGACCUCGCGCGAUUGGAGCGGCCGAUAUCAGAUUAGGUAGUUGGUGAGGUAAAGGCUCACCAAGCCGACGAUCUGUAGCUGGUCUGAGAGGACGACCAGCCACACUGGGACUGAGACACGGCCCAGACUCCUACGGGAGGCAGCAGUGGGGAAUUUUGGACAAUGGGCGCAAGCCUGAUCCAGCAAUGCCGCGUGCAGGAUGAAGGCCUUCGGGUUGUAAACUGCUUUUGUACGGAACGAAACGGCGAGCUCUAAUACAGUUUGCUAAUGACGGUACCGUAAGAUUAAGCACCGGCUAACUACGUGCCAGCCGCCGCAGUAA
Molecule: ribosomal RNA, 500 nt
Filed under: uncultured bacterium
Lineage: Bacteria
Description: partial 16S ribosomal RNA
Rfam family: Bacterial small subunit ribosomal RNA
Source: RNAcentral